UUGUGUGUGUGUGUGUGUGUGGUGGGGGGGGGCAGAGGGAGUGUUCGCCCAGGGCGCCAAAAAGGCUAGGACCGCCACUGCUCUCAGUUACAUUUUGAUCCCAUGUAAAUGAAUUGCCUCAGUUAUUCUUCUGAAGUCUAGGCCUUGUAUAGAAGCCUUGUAUUUCUUUCAUGCAGCUAUCACUAAAUUGGUAGAGAUCCCAUUUCAAAUAAUAAAACAAUAACUGCUCAUUUGCAUCAUAAACAAGUCAUAUGGAUUGAUCACUGUAUUCUUUCCCUAAAUUAAAGAACAUCAUGUGUAUGUAAUGUGUCUUACAUAGGUACACAGGAAACGAAGCAUAACACGGAAAACGGAAAGUCUCGUCACAUGGGUUUUAUCAUCUGACGCAGUAAGCAUCACGCUUAUAUACACUGCCUGCACAAGUGGCCCCACCCCCCAAGAGGUGUUUUGCAACAUUAAUUUCACUUUCCAGAAUGCCAAUGGGUUGGUAUACUUUAUUAAUCCACUGUAGGGAAAUUACUCUCUGAAUUUAACCCAUUCACUCAGUGAAGCAGUGGGCAGCCACCAAUCCAGCACACGGGGAGCACUGCGUAGGGAUGGUACUUUGCUCAGGGUACCUCAUGGUAGCCAUUUGGUGGAUUUGAACCCCCGAUCAUGGGGCGAAUGGUCAACCUACUGAGCUAUUUUUUUUAUUUUUCAUUUGCAAUUUUGUUUUAAUUAUAAUUAUUUUUUAGAGUGGGUUUGCGCAUUUCAUUUCAACAUUACUUCUAGAUUUUUAAUGUGGGUGGUGUCUGUUAUGAACAAGAUUGUAAAAGUUUCGAACUAACUCAAUACAAACACAGCAGUUCAUGUCAGAAAGCCACUCCAGUCACAAAAAUGUAUUCACCAGACUGAGAUUACCAAAUGGUAAAUGGACUGGUUCUUAUAUAGCAUUUUUUUUACUCUAUCUGAACACUCAUUCACACAAACACUUUUUUCUAUGCUCUUUCAUGCUACUACUACUAAUUCAUCACAUACCACAAAUGUCAAGCAUACGAAACAGAAGGCUUUAAAGUCAGGGUACCUUUAUUUAAAGUCACAAUAAACAUUGUACUUUUGAACUACACAGCGAGUACAUAGUAAUUCAUUAAUGUUGUACAAUUUUCAGUGUUGACUCUGUGUGUCAGCAAAAUAGAUUUGAAAUAAAACUAUUUAUACUGUGCACACUCUCAGCUUACAUUUAAGGGGGCUGUUGAGAAAGUUUAGCCUAUAUAUUGUGAAAUGAAAUACCAAUUUAAUUCAGAAGCUGUGUAUGUGAGCCAUUUCUUC
Astatotilapia calliptera (eastern happy) is the source of this 1308-nucleotide long non-coding RNA. The record is from Ensembl. NCBI's taxonomy places the organism in Eukaryota, Metazoa, Chordata, Actinopteri, Cichliformes, Cichlidae.